This 684-nucleotide ribosomal RNA is filed under the name Priestia aryabhattai. RNAcentral's name for it is "bacterial SSU rRNA". It matches the Rfam family "Bacterial small subunit ribosomal RNA", at positions 45 to 710 of the family's 1533-position model. Lineage: Bacteria; Bacillati; Bacillota; Bacilli; Caryophanales; Bacillaceae. The record is from RNAcentral.
GGCCUAACACAUGCAAGUCGAGCGAACUGAUUAGAAGCUUGCUUCUAUGACGUUAGCGGCGGACGGGUGAGUAACACGUGGGCAACCUGCCUGUAAGACUGGGAUAACUUCGGGAAACCGAAGCUAAUACCGGAUAGGAUCUUCUCCUUCAUGGGAGAUGAUUGAAAGAUGGUUUCGGCUAUCACUUACAGAUGGGCCCGCGGUGCAUUAGCUAGUUGGUGAGGUAACGGCUCACCAAGGCAACGAUGCAUAGCCGACCUGAGAGGGUGAUCGGCCACACUGGGACUGAGACACGGCCCAGACUCCUACGGGAGGCAGCAGUAGGGAAUCUUCCGCAAUGGACGAAAGUCUGACGGAGCAACGCCGCGUGAGUGAUGAAGGCUUUCGGGUCGUAAAACUCUGUUGUUAGGGAAGAACAAGUACGAGAGUAACUGCUUGUACCUUGACGGUACCUAACCAGAAAGCCACGGCUAACUACGUGCCAGCAGCCGCGGUAAUACGUAGGUGGCAAGCGUUAUCCGGAAUUAUUGGGCGUAAAGCGCGCGCAGGCGGUUUCUUAAGUCUGAUGUGAAAGCCCACGGCUCAACCGUGGAGGGUCAUUGGAAACUGGGGAACUUGAGUGCAGAAGAGAAAAGCGGAAUUCCACGUGUAGCGGUGAAAUGCGUAGAGAUGUGGAGGAACACC